CUGCAUCAAGUCGAAUUUAAUUCAACGAAUCAGCAAGGAUCUCGUUACUCGGUCGCUCGACCUGCUAGAACUAGAAAUAGCAGCCAAAUCUUCCUCGGAUCAUACCCUUGGGUAAAAAAAACAGCGCGUUAAACAGAAUCACUCUAGAUAGCUCUUAACCAAAAUACCUCCGUAUCUCCGACCCACCUCUACAUACUCCUAUCAUAAAACCUAGUCACAUUCACACGUACUUUACUAUUCCCACUAUGUCAACAAACAAUUGCCUACAACAACAUACCAGUCAAUCACAGCCAAUUACUCUCGCUGUUACACUCCCUGCUAUAAUUGUCGGAAGAGCAAGUUCAGCAUUAGCAUAAUUUGUUUAGUGAAUGUAUACUUGGGUCGUCUGUCAGUCAGAGUGAAACGGAACUGGGUGUUUGUAUGGAAGGAUAGUCGGGUAAUAAUUACGUUAGAUGUGAAACUUACGAAGAAAAACAGGAUGAAACUGCCAGUCUCCGAGAUAAGAUAAAAUUUCUACAUCCUGAUAUAAACAUUAAUUUUUACACAAGAUUGCACAUGGUUCCGUGUUCAAUCCCACUGCGUGGCACCUUGAAAUUGGUAUACAAAAUUCGUACCCACGGAUCUUAUGAAAAUGAUAACAAUCAAACUAUGUUGAGUGAUUUUCUCGUAGGAGUACAAACUGGGUCAUUCUGCUGCAGAAACUCUACGGAAUAUCAAGCGGACCUUUGGUAAUGGUUUUGUUGACAUCAGAACUGUUCAGAGAUAGUUCUGUAGUAACGCCGUGCGCAUGC
Octopus bimaculoides (California two-spot octopus) is the source of this 791-nucleotide long non-coding RNA. RefSeq lists it as uncharacterized. Lineage: Eukaryota; Metazoa; Mollusca; Cephalopoda; Octopoda; Octopodidae. The record is from RefSeq and is a predicted model, not a curated record.